Long non-coding RNA from Cyprinus carpio carpio, 1874 nucleotides. NCBI's taxonomy places the organism in Eukaryota, Metazoa, Chordata, Actinopteri, Cypriniformes, Cyprinidae. The record is from Ensembl.
GCAGGUUCAACUCAAAUUUAUUUAAAUCUCAAACACCACUCAGCUCGAGCAGAGAUUAGAGGAAGGAUGAGGGGAACAGUCAACAUGAGCCUACAGCCCCUCCACUAAGCAGAGUAGAUAAUGAAGACCAGCACACACUAUCCCAGCAUCAGUGCCAAUGCAACGUCAGAGUAGAGAGAACAGCUCACAGAGUCCAAGCGUCAGUACUGACGGAACAUCAGAGCAGAGAGUUCCUUGUAGAGCACGCCGGGUAUUCUGGUAAUAUCAGGGAAGGAACUAGGGAACAGAAGUCUGGUGAAACAAGAGGUUGAGAGCAAGCAGAAGAGAAGACAAACUGAAAACACAAAACUGCAUUUGGAGCCUAAGAAAACUCAGCAGGACAUGACAAGACUAGAUGUAGGUCACACAGUGUAGCACAUUAACACCACAACAGUCAGACACAAGACUACACACGAGGGGAACUUAAAAAGAGGGAGAAUUAAGGAAUUAACAAGUCACAGGUGUGACGGCAGCUGAAGUAGUAAUUAAGAUAAUGAUGGGGAGGGAAGCACAAAGACAAUGAGCACAUGGUGAACGGUCAAAACACAACAACCUGCUGAUCAGGCCGAAGUCCCGGUUGUCUUCCACUCAUCCCCCUCAUGGAUAUGGACCAAAUGGUAGGCAUUGCCUUGCCCCCCUGUAACAAUUCAAAAGCAGGUGAUGUCAUUGAGAAUUAAUGCAAAGAUGCAGGGAGCCAUCCUUCUUAACAAAGAACCCAGCGCCAGCAGGUGAGGAAGAGGGACGGAUGAGGCUGGCAUUGAAGGAUUCCUUAAUAUACUUGUCCAUGGCCUCUCUUUCAGGACCAGACAGGGAGUACAAACGCCCUUUGGGCGGAGAAGUGCCUGGGAGGAGAUUGAUGGCACAGUCACACGGCCGGUGGGGAGGCAAGGACAUUCCCCGGGACUUACUGAAGACUCUGCAAAGAUCAUGGUACUCCGCUGGGACUCCGGAGAGAUCAGCAGCCUCCAUCUGAAACACGGAAGACAAGGAGACAGGAGACGAGGCAGCACCUAAACACGAAGCAAGACAGGACUGACUCCACGAUAAAACAGUUCCCUGACCAAUCCACAUGAGGGUUGUGAUGCACCAACCACAGGUGCCCCAGGACAACAGGAGCACCCGGGGAGUCAAGGAGGUACAGCUCAAUUACCUCACGGUGAUUGCCAGAGACCAUCAGACUUACUGAAGGAGUGGAGUGGGUGAUGGAGGAGAGGAGAAGGCCACUGAGGGACCGGACAGAGAUGGGAGAAGGGAAGGGAUGCCCCACUGUGCUGCAGACACAUCCAAGAAAUUGCCCUCAGCUCUUGAUUCAACCAGCUGGACAAGAGUGAAUGAUGUCCUUAUAUUGAACAAAGACAGGAAGUAGGGUACGAGACUUGGGGGACUCGAGACACGGAGAAGCGCCCAUCAGGAUCCCCUGGCUUACUGAUGGGCCCCAGCUUUUAAAGGACACCAGAUGGUUCGGUGUCCAGGCUUCCCAAAAUAUAGGCAAAGACCUCGAGCCAGUCAAUCCUGCGUCUUGACUGUGAGACGAAGGCGUCCCACCUGCAUGGGCUCUGGGUCGACUACAGAAGGUGCGGGCAGAAUUGGAAGCUCCCUCGCCCAACGUCCAGGAGGAUCGUGCAGUCCACCACUGACGGUGAUGCUGAAGAUGCCCCUCUAUGCGCAGUGCCAGUUCCACUAGGGAGUUGAAAUCACGAGACAGCUCAUGAGUAACAAUCUCAUCUUGGAUCUAAUCCUCCAGCCCCUCCGGAAACCUGGCGCGCAAAGCAGCUUCAUUCAAGUCACAUGUGGCCAACAGUGUUCUAAACUGGAUGGAAUAGUCUGUGACUGAG